Molecule: ribosomal RNA, 301 nt
Filed under: uncultured bacterium
Lineage: Bacteria
Description: partial 16S ribosomal RNA
Rfam family: Bacterial small subunit ribosomal RNA
Source: RNAcentral
CAGUCGCCACGGUAAUACGUAGGGUGCGAGCGUUAUCCGGAAUUAUUGGGCGUAAAGAGCUCGUAGGCGGUUUGUCGCGUCUGCCGUGAAAGUCCGGGGCUUAACUCCGGAUCUGCGGUGGGUACGGGCAGACUAGAGUGCAGUAGGGGAGACUGGAAUUCCUGGUGUAGCGGUGGAAUGCGCAGAUAUCAGGAGGAACACCGAUGGCGAAGGCAGGUCUCUGGGCUGUAACUGACGCUGAGGAGCGAAAGCAUGGGGAGCGAACAGGAUUAGAUACCCGUGUAGUCCCUGUCUCUUAUAC